GUUCCUACGGGGGGCAGCAGUGAGGAAUAUUGGUCAAUGGGCUUACGCCUGAACCAGCAAUGCCGGGUGAACGAGGAAGGUCUUCGGAUCGUAAAGUUCUGUUGAAGGGGAAAAAGAGCGGAGAGAGGAAAUGGUCUCCGAUUGAUACUACCCUUCGAGGAAGUCACGGCUAACUACGUGCCAGCAGCCGCGGUAAUACGUAGGUGGCGAGCGUUAUCCGGAAUGAUUGGGCGUAAAGGGUGCGUAGGCGGCCUGCUAAGUCUGGAGUGAAAGGUACCGGCUCAACCGGUACAAGCUCUGGAAAC
Molecule: ribosomal RNA, 305 nt
Filed under: uncultured bacterium
Lineage: Bacteria
Description: bacterial SSU rRNA
Rfam family: Bacterial small subunit ribosomal RNA
Source: RNAcentral